UCGCCCAAUUUGUUCUUCAUUGGUUUCUAUUUCGUUUUAGAUUUUGCUAUUUAUGUCUGAAUUUUCUUAUCUGGACUGUUGGAUUCCCGGGAUGAAAGCUGAAAUGAAUUGGGUUUAGAUAUCUGUUUUUCUUUUGGUUCAUAACAUGGCACCUUGAACAUCAAGAUGAGCUCGAGUUCUUGCCUUCUCCCUGAAUUUUGCAGUAUUUCCUAUGAACACUGAGUUUUAUCAGCCUUAUCUUUCUUCAACUCCAUAAGGGGGUGGGGGGGGACAACCUAGUGGGCGUAUAAUUCGUUAUUUACUUUUUAGAAUUCUCUUCCAUUUCAAAAUAAGCAAUCUCAUUAUCACAGGACGGUAUCAUCCUGUAAUUAUGGAUACUGGGCAAGGACAUGGUAGUUGUUCGUUUAAUGGUCACUUCUUGUUUUGCCACUUUUGGCCAAGUGCUUCUGAUAUUUUGCCCCACCAACUCACUCAUCAGGUCAACCUCAAUGCCUUCCAUAUCCCACAUGGCCCUUGCAUCUGUCAUGGCCAUGGAGUCACUUUCCCCCCUUGUCUCGUUAGUAUUCUCAUACAAUCAAAUUGGUUAGACGAAGAAUCGACCUUAGGAUUUUUU
This is a long non-coding RNA of Cucurbita maxima (winter squash), 613 nucleotides long. RefSeq lists it as uncharacterized. Lineage: Eukaryota; Viridiplantae; Streptophyta; Magnoliopsida; Cucurbitales; Cucurbitaceae. The transcript is spliced from 2 exons. The record is from RefSeq and is a predicted model, not a curated record.